UACGGAGGAUGCAAGCGUUAUCCGGAUUUAUUGGGUUUAAAGGGUGCGCAGGUUGUUUGAUAAGUCAGUGGUGAAAGUCUGUCGCUUAACGGUAGGAUUGCCAUUGAUACUGUUGGACUUGAAUAUGGAUGAGGUAGGCGGAAUGUGUAGUGUAGCGGUGAAAUGCAUAGAUAUUACACAGAACACCGAUUGCGAAGGCAGCUUACUGGGAUGCAACUGACGCUGAGGCACGAAAGCGUGGGUAUCAAACA
RNAcentral lists this ribosomal RNA (251 nucleotides) under uncultured prokaryote. Its description in RNAcentral is "partial 16S ribosomal RNA". It matches the Rfam family "Bacterial small subunit ribosomal RNA", at positions 524 to 774 of the family's 1533-position model. The record is from RNAcentral.